GAUGAACGCUGGCGGCGUGCCUAAUACAUGCAAGUCGAGCGAACAGAUAAGGAGCUUGCUCCUUUGACGUUAGCGGCGGACGGGUGAGUAACACGUGGGUAACCUACCUAUAAGACUGGAAUAACUCCGGGAAACCGGGGCUAAUGCCGGAUAACAUUUAGAACCGCAUGGUUCUAAAGUGAAAGAUGGUUUUGCUAUCACUUAUAGAUGGACCCGCGCCGUAUUAGCUAGCUGGUAAGGUAACGGCUUACCAAGGCAACGAUACGUAGCCGACCUGAGAGGGUGAUCGGCCACACUGGAACUGAGACACGGUCCAGGCUCCUACGGGAGGCAGCAGUAGGGAAUCUUCCGCAAAGGGCGAAAGCCUGACGGAGCAACGCCGCGUGAGUGAUGAAGGUCUUCGGAUCGUAAAACUCUGUUAUUAGGGAAGAACAAAUGUGUAAGUAACUGUGCACGUCUUGACGGUACCUAAUCAGAAAGCCACGGCUAACUACGUG
Molecule: ribosomal RNA, 497 nt
Filed under: uncultured bacterium
Lineage: Bacteria
Description: partial 16S ribosomal RNA
Rfam family: Bacterial small subunit ribosomal RNA
Source: RNAcentral